RNAcentral lists this long non-coding RNA (1003 nucleotides) under Numida meleagris (helmeted guineafowl). RNAcentral describes it as "lncRNA (ENSNMEG00000017395.1)". The record is from RNAcentral. Lineage: Eukaryota; Metazoa; Chordata; Aves; Galliformes; Numididae.
CUAAAUGAUACCUUGAGGCCCUUUCCAGAUCCACUUCCUAUUACACUUCCUCUGUAGGCUAACAUACGCACAUUUCUGGGAGGGGAAGACCCUGGUUAGAUCAGAAGCUCAGCAGUCAAGUUAAAGAGGACCUGUUUAUGUUUGCUUUCCUGUGGUGUCUCUUCAGUGGUUUGCUUUAGAUGUCUUUGGUGGGAACACCAGAAAGCUGUGCUGCCAUUCAACAAGACCUGGACAGGCCAGUGAGUUGGGUAGAGAGAAACCUGAUGAGGUUGAACAAGGGCAGAUGUAGAGUUUUGCACCUGGGGAGGAAUAACUGCAUGCAUCAGUACAGGUCAGGGGCUGACUCACUGGAGAGGACCUCUGUGGAUAAAGACUUAGGAGUCCUACUGAACAGCAGGUUGACCAUGAGCCAGCAGUGUGCCCUUGUGACCAAGAAGGCCAAUGGGAUCCUGGAGUGCAUUAAAAAGAGCAUGGCCAGCAGGUUGAAGGAGGUGAUCUUCCCCCUCUACUCUGCCCUGGUGAGGCCACAUCUGGAGUGCUGGGUCCAGUUCUGGGCUUCUCAGUUCAAGAAAGACAGGGAGAGAAUACAGUGGAGAGCAACAAAGAUGACGAGGGGCCUGGAACAUCUCCCAUACGAGGAAAGAACAAGAGACCUGGGACUAUUCAGCCUCGAGAAGAGAAGACUGAGGGGAGAUCAAGUGGAUGGGGCCAUGCUCUUUUUGGUGGUGUGCAGCGGCAGGACGAGGAGCAAUGCUCACAAAUUGGAACAAAGAAUAUUCCAUCUGAACACGAGGAAGAAAGUCUUUGAGAGCGACAGAGCACAGGAACAAGUUGCCCAGAGAGGUUGUGGAGUCUUUUUUUCUGGAGAUAUUCAAAACCUGCCUACAUGCUUUCCCAUAUGACUUACCAUGGGGAACAUGCUUUAGCAGGAGGGUUGAGCUAGAUGAUCUCCAGAAGUCCCUUCCAAUCCCUAUGAUUCUGUAAUAUUUCAGCAAUAUCCAGG